AUUGAACGCUGGCGGCAUGCUUUACACAUGCAAGUCGAACGGCAGCGCGGGCUUCGGCCUGGCGGCGAGUGGCGAACGGGUGAGUAAUGCAUCGGAACGUGCCCAGUAGUGGGGGAUAGCCCGGCGAAAGCCGGAUUAAUACCGCAUACGACCUGAGGGUGAAAGCGGGGGACCGAAAGGCCUCGCGCUAUUGGAGCGGCCGAUGUCGGAUUAGCUAGUUGGUGGGGUAAAGGCUUACCAAGGCGACGAUCCGUAGCUGGUCUGAGAGGACGACCAGCCACACUGGGACUGAGACACGGCCCAGACUCCUACGGGAGGCAGCAGUGGGGAAUUUUGGACAAAGGGGGCAACCCUGAUCCAGACAUGCCGCGUGCGGGAAGAAGGCCUUCGGGUUGUAAACCGCUUUUGUUCGGGAAGAAAUCCUCUGGGCUAAUACCCCGGGGGGAUGACGGUACCGGAAGAAUAAGCACCGGCUAACUACGUG
Molecule: ribosomal RNA, 484 nt
Filed under: uncultured bacterium
Lineage: Bacteria
Description: partial 16S ribosomal RNA
Rfam family: Bacterial small subunit ribosomal RNA
Source: RNAcentral